AACGAACGCUGGCGGCGUGCUUAACACAUGCAAGUCGAGCGGUAAGGCCCUUUCGGGGGUACGACGAGCGGCGAACGGGUGAGUAACACGUGGGUGACCUGCCCUCAGCUCUGGGAUAAGCCUGGGAAAACCGGGUCUAAUACUGGAUAUGACUCCAUGACGCAUGUUGUGGGGUGGAAAGCCUUGUGCGGCUGAGGAUGGGCCCGCGGCCUAUCAGCUUGUUGGUGGGGUGANGG
This 236-nucleotide ribosomal RNA is filed under the name uncultured bacterium. RNAcentral describes it as "partial 16S ribosomal RNA". It matches the Rfam family "Bacterial small subunit ribosomal RNA", at positions 29 to 263 of the family's 1533-position model. The record is from RNAcentral.